This 342-nucleotide ribosomal RNA is filed under the name uncultured Hydrogenophaga sp. RNAcentral describes it as "bacterial SSU rRNA". It matches the Rfam family "Bacterial small subunit ribosomal RNA", at positions 1035 to 1382 of the family's 1533-position model. The record is from RNAcentral. Lineage: Bacteria; Pseudomonadati; Pseudomonadota; Betaproteobacteria; Burkholderiales; Comamonadaceae.
CAGGUGCUGCAUGGCUGUCGUCAGCUCGUGUCGUGAGAUGUUGGGUUAAGUCCCGCAACGAGCGCAACCCUUGUCAUUAGUUGCUACGAAAGGGCAACUCUAAUGAGACUGCCGGUGACAAACCGGAGGAAGGUGGGGAUGACGUCAAGUCCUCAUGGCCCUUAUAGGUGGGGCUACACACGUCAUACAAUGGCUGGUACAAAGGGUUGCCAACCCGCGAGGGGGAGCCAAUCCCAUAAAGCCAGUCGUAGUCCGGAUCGCAGUCUGCAACUCGACUGCGUGAAGUCGGAAUCGCUAGUAAUCGUGGAUCAGCAUGUCACGGUGAAUACGUUCCCGGGUCUU